CUCCUGCUUUUUUCCUACACUCUCUCCUCCCUCCUCUCCUCCCUCUUUCUCCUGUUUGAUUUCCACCUCUUUUCUCUCCUCUCUCCUCUGAAUCUGCCUCUUCCUCUUCUCACCUCCCUCUUCCUUCCCUGUCUCUCCCCCUUGGGUCUCUCUUCCUUCCCUCUCUCUGGUUUCUCUGUCUCUGCCCUGUCCUUUCCUUUCCCUCCUCUCUGGACCUGUCUCCUCUCCUGGCUCUCUCUCCUUCAAGCUCUCACUCCCACUGGCCUCCCUCCCGGGAGCCCCGUCUCCUCCGUCUCCAGGUGGCCCCUGCAUCCCUGCCUGGUGGGCCUUUGCCUCCCUCUCCUGUUCCUGCCUUGCCUGCUCCCAGGUUUCCAGGUCCUGACCAGGAGGCAGGAGUCCAUACCGAGGCCCAAACAGGCUAGCCCUGAGCAGGGCCCCCAAGCCUGAGGCCCAGGAGUGGACAGACCUUUGUGACACCCAUUCUCUCUUCCUUUUCCAUCUGUCCGGAACUCUGGACACUGCCUGGAGGAAUCAGGCCUGCCGUAGGCCCAGGAAGGCGGAAACAAAGACGACGCUCAGAGACAGGAAGCAACUUGCCUAAAGAUACACAGCACAAAUGAGAAAAUUGGUGCCCAAUGUUUCUGAAGACCAGCAACUGCUAAGACAGAGACUUCGAGGGAACCCGACCUUGCCUGAAGGACCAACAGCGCCCCCUGCAGGACACUUCCCUCCAUUGAGAGAAGCCACAGGCGCCGGCCUGAGGCAUUCUGAGUGCGUGGAAUCCUCUAUUACCACCUCCUGGCAAAGAACGGAGCUGCAACCCAGCUAUAUGAGACACCGAGAAUGAUCUCAACAAAAAGGAACAGUGACCAGAAUGCCUGGGGGAGGAACAGGGGAUACUGGGUGGAAGGAGGGGAGAGGGAGAAGUUGUAAUAUUUUGUAAAAAUGAACAUUUUUACUCCUAAUCAAUAUACAAACAUCAUGCUCAGCAAA
RNAcentral lists this long non-coding RNA (993 nucleotides) under Homo sapiens (human). RNAcentral's name for it is "non-protein coding lnc-FAM71E1-2:11". The record is from RNAcentral. Lineage: Eukaryota; Metazoa; Chordata; Mammalia; Primates; Hominidae.